Molecule: ribosomal RNA, 301 nt
Filed under: uncultured bacterium
Lineage: Bacteria
Description: partial 16S ribosomal RNA
Rfam family: Bacterial small subunit ribosomal RNA
Source: RNAcentral
CAGUCGCCGCGGUAACACGAAGGGUGCAAGCGUUAAUCGGAAUUACUGGGCGUAAAGCGUGCGUAGGCGGUUCGUUAAGUCUGUUGUGAAAGCCCCGGGCUCAACCUGGGAAUGGCAAUGGAUACUGGCGAGCUAGAGUGUGUCAGAGGAUGGUGGAAUUCCCGGUGUAGCGGUGAAAUGCGUAGAGAUCAGGAGGAACAUCAGUGGCGAAGGCGGCCAUCUGGGACAACACUGACGCUGAGGCACGAAAGCGUGGGGAGCAAACAGGAUUAGAUACCCCUGUAGUCCCUGUCUCUUAUAC